RNAcentral lists this long non-coding RNA (2112 nucleotides) under Nicotiana benthamiana. RNAcentral's name for it is "long non-coding RNA (NBEN_LNC017933)". Lineage: Eukaryota; Viridiplantae; Streptophyta; Magnoliopsida; Solanales; Solanaceae. The record is from RNAcentral.
AAAAAACCUACCGAAAACCUACCUAUGCACACACAACCAUCAGUCGUUAAUAAAAAGGGGCUAGACCAAAACAGUGCUAUACAAUCCGCUUUUUCUUAUCUUCAGAAUAUCAACACACACACAAUUAUUGAACUCGAAGAAAUUGACGGUGAAUCAAUUGAGGAUAUGAUGAAUAUCCAAUAAAUUCCUUCUCCUCUCCUAGCUUAUUGACCUCAUUACUAAGUAAUGGCCCUUAUCAUUCUUUCAUACAUUAAUACCACACAUAGACAUAAACAGAGGGGGAAACGGAAUAGAAUAGGAGAUUGAGAAUAGGGGAUUAGAUCUUAGACUGAACGAAAACAGUGAGAAAGAGGGGAAACGAAAAGCAGAAUCACAAAAUUAUUGGGGGAAAAUCUCCAAUCUCGCCCCGCAGCCCGAUGUUUGCAUUCCAGUCGAGUUGGGUCUGUUCAGUUCCGUUCGAGAUUCCGACGAGUUUCCGGCGCUGCUACGUUACUUGUUCUUUCCGUCAAUUAGCAUUUUCAGAUUGUAAGUCAUUUUAAUUUAAGAUUAAUAGAGGUUUAUCUUUUCUUCUCCCUCUAUUUCAUAUGUUAUUCUUAUGUGAUUAGUUCUGUGAAGAAUUGGAUUUCAUGGUCGUUUUCUUUGUGUUCACCACUGCACCACCCCUAAGUUUUCAUUUGUAAUUUCCUUUAUUUGUCCGUUGAUUAGUGCUUGUUUGGUUAUGAUGCCGAAUCUGGUUCUGGCUUUAAAUCAUUGGCUUAAAGUAAUGUUGUUAAUGAGUAUUUGUAUAUAUGUGUUUGACAAAUUUGAGUUGAUAUGCUUCAUUUUCAUGAAUGUUUGUUUUAUAAUAACAUACAUUAUCAGUAGUAUAUGCCUUAACUAUUGAUGUUUGGUUGUUACUGUGAAUUAACUUUCCUAUAUGGAAUCAAAAUAGCAUAUGCCUUAACUUUUAAUUCUUUUGUAAGAAGUGGUUAUUCUUUAAAUAGAUGUCUUAGGCUAUUUCUGCACUUAGCCAUGUUGAUAUAGAGAAAAUUUCAACGCCUUUCAUAACAGUUUGUCUCUUUUGCAAUCUUUGAUAUGAUAUAAGAAGCUGAAUGUUAGUGGAAAUGCUCUAGGCACGUUUAAUCUGUGAUUGUGUACGUGUUCGCGUGACAUAAUUACAAUUUAAAAAAUUAAUUCGGAGUAUGCGUUCGCGGAACUUCGAUCAAACCUUUCUUAAUAGUAAAUUUGUUAUUAAUAUAGUCCUAUUUAAUUAAUUUUGGUUCAUAUAGUCCGAGGCAUGCCGUGCCAAAUGAAAUCUUAAAAUGCAUGGCCCUCAUAUAAAUUCCACACCCUAGAUAUAAAAACGAUAAAUGUUUGUAGUUUGCUUUAGACACGUCUAAUAUACUAUCGUGGUUGUGGACACGUUCGCAUGAUAUGAUUACGAUUUCUAAAAACAAAACAAGUGUAUGCGGUUGUGCAACUUUGGUCAAAUUUUUCUAAUUAUAAUAAAGUGUUAUUAAUUCGGGGCACGUUUGCAUGACAUGAUUUUCGACACACCAAACAAAUGGGUACACACGCAUGUGACCCGUUUCAAGAUAAUUUUCUUAACUUAAAAGCGGUCAAAGAUAAAUGCACGUAGUUUCUAAAAUCAGUAAUUAAACAAUUUGAUUAAACCAAGUAUGAUCAAAACGACCGUGCUAGUAUCAGGAACUAGGAAUGCCUAACACCUUCUCCCAGGUUAAAAAAUUUCCUUACCUACAUUUCUGUGUUCGCAGACUGUAAAACAAAGUCAACCUUUUCCUUGAUUCGGGAUUUGAACAGGUGACUUGGGACACCAUGAAUUAUCUCAAGUGGAGACUAAAUUUAAUUAAUAAAUAAUUCCAUUUUGAUAAUCACUUUAAGUUUGAAAAAACUCCCUCAUAUUCCCCUUUCGGGGUUGUGUGAAAAAAGAGGUGUGACAUAUAUGCUUGUAUUGCUUAUUUGCAGGUAAACCGGCGAGCAACGACCAUUACGACAAGGGCGAUUUUGCUCCAGUUCCCAGAGCCCUUCUAGCCCUUAACCAUUCAUUCUACCUGAAUAUUGCGUCUGUCCUUGAAAAGGUCUCCAUAGGCAUACUCCGCCGAGGGAUCUUGA